GUGCGCAGCAGCCGCGGUAAUACGUAGGGCGCAAGCGUUGUCCGGAUUUAUUGGGCGUAAAGAGUUCGUAGGCGGUCUGUCGCGUCGGAAGUGAAAUCCCGGAGCUCAACUCCGGGCCUGCUUUCGAUACGGGCAGACUUGAGUGUUGCAGGGGAGACUGGAAUUCCUGGUGUAGCGGUGGAAUGCGCAGAUAUCAGGAAGAACACCGGUGGCGAAGGCGGGUCUCUGGGCAACAACUGACGCUGAGGAACGAAAGCGUGGGGAGCAAACAGGAUUAGAAACCCUGGUAGUCC
This 293-nucleotide ribosomal RNA is filed under the name uncultured bacterium. Its description in RNAcentral is "partial 16S ribosomal RNA". It matches the Rfam family "Bacterial small subunit ribosomal RNA", at positions 505 to 796 of the family's 1533-position model. The record is from RNAcentral.